This 440-nucleotide ribosomal RNA is filed under the name uncultured bacterium. RNAcentral's name for it is "partial 16S ribosomal RNA". It matches the Rfam family "Bacterial small subunit ribosomal RNA", at positions 338 to 795 of the family's 1533-position model. The record is from RNAcentral.
CCUACGGGAGGCAGCAGUGGGGAAUAUUGGACAAUGGGGGGAACCCUGAUCCAGCGACGCCGCGUGAGUGAAGAAGUAUUUCGGUAUGUAAAGCUCUAUCAGCAGGGAAGAAAAUGACGGUACCUGACUAAGAAGCCCCGGCUAACUACGUGCCAGCAGCCGCGGUAAUACGUAGGGGGCAAGCGUUAUCCGGAUUUACUGGGUGUAAAGGGAGCGUAGACGGUGCAGCAAGUCUGAUGUGAAAGGUCGGGGCCCAACCCCGGGACUGCAUUGUAAACUGGUGAACUGGAGUACAGGAGGGGGUAGCGGAAAUCCUAGUGUAGCGGGGAAAAGCGAAGAUAUUAGGAGGGAAACCAGUGGCGAAGGCGGCUUAAGGGACUGUAACUGACGUCGAGGCUAGAAAGCGUGGAGAACCAACCGGAAUAGAUACCCCAGUAGGC